Molecule: long non-coding RNA, 4814 nt
Filed under: Paramuricea clavata
Lineage: Eukaryota; Metazoa; Cnidaria; Anthozoa; Malacalcyonacea; Plexauridae
Source: RNAcentral
GAAUAAAGUAAGAGCAAAAUGCGCCGAAUUAAAGCAACCGCAAUUUUAUAGAAACGUAAAUUAGUCACGCAAGAUGAUGAAGUGUGGGCUGUUUUUGCAAUGAGUGGAAAAGAGCCUUAAUUAAAGCGUUAUUGCUAUACAUGGUUGUAGACACAAGUCAUUAGCAAGUCGCUUGGUCAUCAUGCGCAAUAAUGACGUUUCCACUAACUAUAAUUAACUUUAAUCACUUUUUUAUACAGCCGGCCUCAGGCAAACUGCAAACUUCAAGAAUCAAUAUUUUCGGAAAAAAAAGCACGCGCUCUUCUUUAGUGGUAUUACUUAUACUUAAAGUUGCAUAUUUCCAUCGCCCCAGCGACUUAACGCUCCGAGGAGCGUCUUGUUCAAUUAAGGUUGUCCUUCCAAAACCUUAAACGUUAAACUCUGAGCGCGCAAUCUAAACUCUAUCAGCUAAUUCAAUUAAGGACAACCUUAAUUGAAUUAGCUGAUAUUACUUGCUACGAACGCGGUAAAAAAUUGCUUCUAUCUUGCUUUUAAAGUCAAAAAUAAAAAUUCAAACACCGUCAAUCGAUAGGGAAUAUUGCUUAGAAUAAUUAUGUCAAGUUUCAUUCCGGUCGGACAAGUAAUGACGGAGCCUUAGAGUUUUUUCAAAGAGCGUCCUCCCCUCCCCUCCCCCCCCCCAACAAGAAGAAGAUUGGCAGCGAUUGGAGACCAGUUCCUGAUCCAAAAAGUGUUGUAAAUUUUGUAUUAUUUGCCUUUCUUGUGUUUGUUAUGUCUCGCAUAAUGAAAUUGAUAAACUGGUAAAUAUAAGAUAUUUUAACGUUAAAAUGGAACAGGAUAAAUACAUCAGGUCGCCUUGAACCACAGUUAAUAAAAUAAGAUGGUUUGGGCUAGCUGGUUUUAAAAUAUGUUAUUAUUCUCGACUAUUGAGGUCACGUGACGCUUUUAGUGCAUCAGCGAUAAACAAUGAAUGCUUUACAAUAUGAGCGGCGACGCACUUCUACGCCGAAAACCUUCGAAUUAACUGCUUUUUCUAGCGAAUUUUGGAAAAAUCUCAGUAACUACGCUACGCCGGGUGCCAACUGUGCAAAGUAUGGCUGUUCGACAAGUCGAAAGAGUGGUCUUUCGUUAUUUAAGUUACCUUGACCUAGAGUGGAUAAUUGACAAGAGACGAGGGCUUCGAAGGAGAUUGCGCGUAAAGAAUGGCUACAUGGAUACUAAGAACAACGGAAAUGACCCCCGAACUGAAGCAGAAAAUCGAGGAAAAUAAGAUUUUCCUAUGUGAGCGUCAUUUCAAAGAAGAAUUGACAUCUGAUUGUAAGUACGGACUUUUUAUCUUUGAGCGAAAUAUUGUAAUUGCUCGGCCUUUGUCUUAUUGUGUAUGGUUGAAAUAUUGGCGGAUUAUAUAUUGAAUGUAUCUUAAAUACUAGUCUAGUAAUUGAAUUUUUGUCCUUUUGUAGACUGAAAGAGUUGAAAUCGUUAGAAACAGGAGCUGUUCCAACUGAAAAUCCAGAUUACUGAAUUACCAGAACUGAAUUACCAGAUUCGCUUUCAACAUCACUCUCAGAUUGUGGUAUUUCAUGUUCCUCCUUUGCCCUUUUUGACAAUAAAUACUCCUUUUUAAUUAAAUCUUUAUUAACCCCUGCUUCUACUAGACCUUUUGUAAACAGGUCGAGCCCUCGUGGUUCAGGAAUGUGAGAGUUGUAUGGUAAAAGUGCGUAUUGUAAAAAGUUCUCGAUGUUAGUUCCAGGAAUGUCUCUUCCAUGAUAAACAAUCUCACCCUGAGGAUUCCAAGUUAAAAUAUCACGUGAUAUAAGAAUAGAAUGUAGCAUAUUUUCUGCUGUAGUUUUUUUGACAUUAUUGUUCAGAUACAAAAGUAUAUCUUCAAUGCGCCAAUGUCGCGGAGAUGUUUUACUCUCGAUGUUCAUUGUUGAAAUGAUGUAUAAAUUGAAGUCACAGGGCUUUUAUACAAGUUCAGCCAGGCUUUCCAAAAUAGGACUUAGUAAUAGUCCAAGGAAACCUUCACCAUGUUGAACGAGUAUCUGUUUUUUUCUUCUUCCACAUUUUCCUCUAUCUACCAACCUAAGCAUUUCAUGUUUGUAAGGUCGGAGUUUCUUCAUUACAUGCUUAGGCAUUAAAUAUUUUCUUUUCAUAACGUUUUCUACACAGAGACACAGGCAGUGUACUUGCUCGGCGGUUGCUGUUUCCAGUAGUGCUUGUUGUUGAUCAGGCUCAGACGUGCCCAACAAUUCAUGAAAUAGCUUGCUCCUUAGAAGAUUGAUCAUUUCUGUUCAACGGUUUGGAAGCAAAUGAGUAAAACACAACAAUAAGGAAGCUUAUAUCGGAAGAGAGAAAGCAAUUUAUACAAGGCUCCGAGCUACUGAGAGCUCGACUCUGAGCUUAUCGAACUUGGCUCCUUGUGCAUGUCAGAUAAGGAAGAUAAGAGGAUAAAUAUAAGGAAGAUAAGCAUAAAGAUAAGAGGAUAAAUAUAAGGAAGAUAAUGAUAAGGAAGAUACGAAGAUAAAGAUAAUAAGAUAAAGAUAAGGAUAAAGAUAAAGAUAAAGAAGAUAAAGAUAACAAAAAGAUACGAAGAUAAAGAUAAGGAUAAGGAUAAAGAUAAGAAGAUAAAGAUAAAGAUAAGGAAGAUAAAGAUAAGGAUAAGAAUAAGAAUAAGGAACAUAAAGAUUAAGAUAAAGAUAAAGAUAAGAAGAUAAAGAUAAAGAUAAGGAUACUGAUAAGAAGAUAAAGGUAAAGAUAAGGAUAAGGAAGAUGAAGAUAAGGAUAAAGAUAAAGAUAAGGAUAAGGAUAAAGAUAAGAGGAUGAAGACAACGAUAAGGAAGAUAGGGAAGAUAAGGAAGAUAAAGAUAAGGAUAAGGAACAUAAAGAUUAAGAUAAGGAUAAAGAUAAGGAAGAUAAAGAUAAGGAUAAAGAUAAAGAUAAGGAUAAGGAUAAAGAUAAGGAAGAUAAGGAAGAUAAAGAUAAGGAAGAUAAAGAUAAGGAUAAAGAAGAUAAAGAUAAGGAAGAUAGAGACAAAUAAAGAUAAGGAAGAUAAAGAUAGGGAUAAAGAUAAAGAAGAUAAAGAUAAGGAAGAUAAGAAUAAAGAUGAGGAUAAGAAAAUAAAGAUAAAGAAUAUAAGGAAGAUAAAGAUAAGGAUAAAGAUAAGGAAGAUAAAGAUACACAACAAUACUGGAUAGAUGCAUUAAUGAAUAUAUAGAACGAAUGCGCCAACUUAUUAUCACUUCCAGCUAGACGUUCGUUGUGUGAACGUGUCCUUUCCGUGCAAAAUAUGUGCCAAAGUAUUUUCAACACGCGGCAACCUCAAGCGUCAUACUUUGAAUACCCAUGGAGAUGUUGAAAGCAAACCAGUUGAAAUCUCAGCAGGAUCUACAGUUUUGCAGCAUCCUUUCACACGUAUCGUAGCUGGGUGUACCCAAAGCGGCAAGACUGUAUGAGUAAAAUCUCUCUUGGAGAAUGCACAGAAAACUAUAAGUCCUGCUCCUCAACGUAUCAUUUGGUGUUAUGGUCAAUGGCAACCCUCCUAUUUUGAUAUGAUGAGAACGAUGCCUGGAAUCGAGUUUAAUCAAGGCAUCCCCGAAGACAUCGAAAACGCAGAUUACUUGGACGUAUCGCAACGGAAUUUUAUCGUAUUGGACGGCCUUAUGGCUCAAUCUGGCAAAGAUAAACGUAUUUCUUUCUGAUCUUUUUAACGAGCGAGGACGCUGAAAAAUGCGUAGUCAGCAAGUUUCGCCCGAUUGUGUUUAAACCUGCCCGCGUGACGUCAUUGCAUAUAAUUAUGACGUAUCUUAAUGAAUGACGUCAUUACGCACCCUGAUUUGUGUGAAUAUUAAUUAGCGCAGCCUUACGCAUCCUCCUUUGUAUGAAUAUUAAUUAUAUAUGAGGUGGUGGACACCCACCAUUAUAUAUGAGGUGGUGGACAUCCACCUCCUCGCGCAAAUCAGCAUUGGAUAUGCGUGGCACGUGUUCGUCACUGAACAGACUUUCCCUCGUUUGCAGCAAUCGUCAACGGUCCAGAGUGAUUGGGCUCGUACCAGAGCUCAUGUCGAUCGAUGUGCUCGCGGUUUGCGUUGAUUUCUUCCGCUAUCCACGCAAUGCAACCCAUCGCGUGGUCAUAAAUCCACUUGUCGAUUCCCGGUAGAGUUUGAGGCAAUGACGUUGUUGUGAAUAUCUCAAUUCUGCGCUUCACGUUAUCGUCUUCUUCUUUACCAAAAUUCGGGAGAUUAUUUGUGGUGAUGUAGAAGGGGCUAUUAUUUAAUACCGUCUUUGGUAGGCCGUGCUUUACCGCAGAGACCAUCCAUCCGCCUUGAAGGAUGCAUUUGGCAAGGUCGGAUUGCAUCGUGCUCGCCGACCACUCGUCCACGAGGACCAGCUGAGUUUCGUUGUUAAUCAUAGCCGCAGAAAAUUGUCUCUCGUUUGUGAGCGACGCAAUGUAGCUGGCGGGAAUAACACGAUGGAAUAUGUUGGACCAAGAUGUUUUGCCCGAAUCUUUGGGGCCAACCAAUACCAAUUUCCUCACCUUGUGGGGCAUGCUGAACGCGCGCAGGCACUGAUAGAGUUUAUUCAGGAACCGUACUCGCACGUCGUCAUCAGGAAAGGAGUUGACAAUGCCUUCUCGAAAAUACCCAGGCUUCGGCGGUUUGGAACUGUCAUAUGGAACAAAAGAUCUUGGCGACAGUUUUCGACGCAUGGAUUCCGGGAUAGGACAGACGAUGAACUUUCGGGCUUUGAUCGAGAAACAGUACCCGUUUGAUACUUCAAUGAGAUCCACGUCAAAUUUGAUCUGCUGAAUUAUUGCGCAU